GCCGGCGUGGUGAAAUUGGUAGACACGAUAGACUCAAAAUCUAUUGUCCGCGAGGAUGUACCGGUUCGAGUCCGGUCGCCGGUA
This 84-nucleotide transfer RNA is filed under the name Spirochaetia bacterium. Its description in RNAcentral is "tRNA-Leu". It matches the Rfam family "tRNA". Rfam says of the family: Transfer RNA (tRNA) molecules are approximately 80 nucleotides in length. Lineage: Bacteria; Pseudomonadati; Spirochaetota; Spirochaetia. The record is from RNAcentral.